This 510-nucleotide ribosomal RNA is filed under the name uncultured bacterium. RNAcentral describes it as "bacterial SSU rRNA". It matches the Rfam family "Bacterial small subunit ribosomal RNA", at positions 36 to 518 of the family's 1533-position model. The record is from RNAcentral.
CUGGCGGCGUGCCUAAUACAUGCAAAUCGAACGGUCUUUCUAUGGAAGCUUGCUUCCACUGAGAAGAUAGUGGCGAACGGGUGAGUAACACGUGGGUAACCUGCCCAUAAGAGGGGGGAUAACAUCCGGAAACGGGUGCUAAUACCGCAUAGUUUUCUUGAUCGCAUGAUCGGGAAAGGAAAGACGGCCUUUGUGCUGUCGCUUAUGGAUGGACCCGCGGCGUAUUAGUUAGUUGGUGAGGUAACGGCUCACCAAGACGAUGAUACGUAGCCGACCUGAGAGGGUGAUCGGCCACAUUGGGACUGAGACACGGCCCAAACUCCUACGGGAGGCAGCAGUAGGGAAUCUUCCGCAAUGGACGAAAGUCUGACGGAGCAACGCCGCGUGAGUGAAGAAAGGUUUUCGGAUCGUAAAACUCUGUUGUCAGAGAAGAACAAGUUGGAGAGUAACUGCUCCAGCCUUGACGGUAUCUGACCAGAAAGCCACGGCUAACUACGUGCCAGCCGCUGC